ACAGUUCAACUCCAAAGCUAUGAAUGACUGCAGAACUGCAAACGCCUAGUGUUCUUGUACAUGAAGAGGCAGGACUGAGAUACGUUAGGGACACUGCUUGGUCCGUUUUAGGACUUUUGCCAACGUCGAAAUAACUUUUGGUCAACAAUGAAUAAUUCAACCAACUUGUUCCUGUGCUCGCGCAAACCAGAAAUCUCCUGCACUACUUAUAAUAAUGGAUUUCGUUGGAUGAGACGGAUGUGUCAUGAGACCGAGAAUUGACAGAAGACCACAUGGUGGUGGCCGUGGCUGUGUGCUGACCGACCAGCAGGAGUGGGCAGUGGUGAAAAUGGCGAGGGCCAGGAAUGUCCGAAAUAAAGCAUGCCAUUGAGGAGAAACGAUGACACCGUUGUAAAUGUGAUAUCCAGUAGCCAGUGUCCAGACCUGAACCCAAUAGAAAAUCUUUGGAGGGAGCUGAACCUCCGUAUUGCCCAGCGACAGCCCAGAAACCUGAAGGAUCUGGAGAAGGUCUGUAUGGAGGAGUGGGCCAAAAUCCCUGCUGCAGUGUGUGCAAACCUGGUCAAGAACUACAGGAAACGUAUGAUCUCUGUAAUUGCAAACAAAGGUUUCUGUACCAAAUAUUAAGUUCUGCUUUUCUGAUGUAUCAAAUUCUUAUGUCAUGCAAUAAAAUGCAAAUUAAUUUCUUAAAAAUCAUACAA
This is a long non-coding RNA of Oncorhynchus keta (chum salmon), 698 nucleotides long. RefSeq lists it as uncharacterized. The transcript has 3 exons. Lineage: Eukaryota; Metazoa; Chordata; Actinopteri; Salmoniformes; Salmonidae. The record is from RefSeq and is a predicted model, not a curated record.